Molecule: ribosomal RNA, 184 nt
Filed under: uncultured bacterium
Lineage: Bacteria
Description: partial 16S ribosomal RNA
Rfam family: Bacterial small subunit ribosomal RNA
Source: RNAcentral
CAUGAAGCUGGAAUCGCUAGUAAUCGCGGAUCAGAAUGCCGCGGUGAAUACGUUCCCGGGUCUUGUACACACCGCCCGUCACACCAUGGGAGUCGGAAAUGCCCGAAGUCUGUGACCCAACCUGAGAGGGAGGGAGCAGCCGAAGGCAGGUCUGAUGACUGGGGUGAAGUCGUAACAAGGUAGC